CUGUACGUUUAUUAUAUUCGUUUAAGACUGUAUAACAUAAAGACUAUCUAUCUGAUAUGUCCUUGAAAUGAAAACCUUUGGUCUUUCAUUUACCUGAAAUUGUGCUUUCUUCUUUAUAGGUACCCCAUGUAGCGUAAACUAAACUCCCAAAUUCAUAUGUCUCUUAGCUAUAUUAUUUAAUUUACAUAGGUAACAGUGACGUUGCUUCUACUGUCAUAAGUGAAAGUGAGGUGGAAGGAGUAGAAGCAAAACAGUUCUUGGAAGAUGUCCGUGAUUCAUUUCCUCAGGUUUUGAGUGUUUUGAAAACAAGACAAGUAACAUAUUAUGUGCUGAAUCAUCUAAAUGGAUAUAUCAAGAACCUCGAGAAGGUUGGGCUGUUAGAGGGAAAAGAAGUUUCUCAUCUUCAUGAUGUUGUUCAGUCUGACUUGAAGAAGCUCCUGAGAAAUCCUCCUUUACUAAAACUUCCAAAUAUAGAAGGUUUUCUCGCCAGCAAUCCGUUAUUGAAAGAUCGCUCAAUCUUCAGGAGUUUGGCCACGGGCGAGACACAUUCAUGAAUAAGACUUUGUAGGUUUUCUUGUCAGAAGCAAAUCAAGGAGUAGACUCAGGUUUCAGGAAGAGUCAGGAACUCGUUAAUGUUCUUUCUUCGCACCCACCUGGAUAGUACCAGGACCCGUGUGCCCCGGCCCUUGGUCAGAUACCCGAAUUACUCUUCUUUUUGUAUUACCAAAUGCGUCCUGCUUUUUUGUUCACAAAUCCACACUCUUUGGUUGAAGUUCACAAUCCAUAUACGCUGGCAUAAAAGUUUAAUUAUAACGCAUAUAUUUAAAUAUUAACGCUUAUAAAAAAGCACAAAGUA
Camelina sativa (false flax) is the source of this 856-nucleotide non-coding RNA. NCBI's taxonomy places the organism in Eukaryota, Viridiplantae, Streptophyta, Magnoliopsida, Brassicales, Brassicaceae. The record is from RefSeq and is a predicted model, not a curated record.